GGGCGUGCGGCAGCUUACCAUGCAGUCGAGCGGAACGAUGGUAGCUUGCUACCAGGCGUCGAGCGGCGGACGGGUGAGUAAUACUUAGGAAUCUACCUAGUAGUGGGGGAUAGCUCGGGGAAACUCGAAUUAAUACCGCAUACGACCUACGGGAGAAAGGGGGCAACUUGUUGCUCUCGCUAUUAGAUGAGCCUAAGUCGGAUUAGCUAGAUGGUGGGGUAAAGGCCUACCAUGGCGACGAUCUGUAGCUGGUCUGAGAGGAUGAUCAGCCACACCGGGACUGAGACACGGCCCGGACUCCUACGGGAGGCAGCAGUGGGGAAUAUUGGACAAUGGGGGAAACCCUGAUCCAGCCAUGCCGCGUGUGUGAAGAAGGCCUUUUGGUUGUAAAGCACUUUAAGCAGUGAAGAAGACUCCUCGGUUAAUACCCGUGGACGAUGGCAUUAGCUGCAGAAUAAGCACCGGCUAACUCUGUGCCAGCAGCCGCGGUAAUACAGAGGGUGCAAGCGUUAAUCGGAAUUACUGGGCGUAAAGCGAGCGUAGGUGGCUUGAUAAGUCAGAUGUGAAAUCCCCGGGCUUAACCUGGGAACUGCAUCUGAAACUGUUAGGCUAGAGUAGGUGAGAGGAAGGUAGAAUUCCAGGUGUAGCGGUGAAAUGCGUAGAGAUCUGGAGGAAUACCGAUGGCGAAGGCAGCCUUCUGGCAUCAUACUGACACUGAGGCCCGAAAGCGUGGGUGGCAAACAGGAUUAGAUACCCUGGUAGUCCACGCCGUAAACGAUGUCUACUAGUCGUUGGGUCCCUUGAGGACUUAGUGACGCAGCUAACGCAAUAAGUAGACCGCCUGGGGAGUACGGGCCGCAAGGUUAAAACUCAAAUGAUUGACGGGGCCCGCACAGCGGUGGAGCAUGUGGUUUAUUCGAUGCAACGCGAGACCUUACCUGUCUUGACAUAUCUAGGA
RNAcentral lists this ribosomal RNA (958 nucleotides) under uncultured bacterium. RNAcentral describes it as "bacterial SSU rRNA". It matches the Rfam family "Bacterial small subunit ribosomal RNA", at positions 33 to 995 of the family's 1533-position model. The record is from RNAcentral.